Thalassophryne amazonica is the source of this 269-nucleotide long non-coding RNA. RefSeq lists it as uncharacterized. NCBI's taxonomy places the organism in Eukaryota, Metazoa, Chordata, Actinopteri, Batrachoidiformes, Batrachoididae. The record is from RefSeq and is a predicted model, not a curated record. The transcript has 3 exons.
CAACUGAGGAAUGAUAUUGAGAUGGUACGCAGCAACGACUCGACAGACUGGAGUCAAAGGUGGACCGCAUACUACAACUACUGUGGAGGAAUCAGGCUGCUGAAGAAGCUGACUGCAUUGGAGAUAAUGCAGGCCAGACUUAAAACAACGGAGGAGCUGGACCAAUUCAGCAAAACGCUGGAGGACCAGGAGUUUAGGAGGACAGUGGUGAAUCUGCUGAAACAGCUAUCUGGAUCAAUGCUGAACUCCUUUGCCAGGACGAUGCUCGG